RNAcentral lists this ribosomal RNA (624 nucleotides) under Hepatozoon sp. JM-7. RNAcentral's name for it is "bacterial SSU rRNA". It matches the Rfam family "Eukaryotic small subunit ribosomal RNA", at positions 189 to 801 of the family's 1831-position model. The record is from RNAcentral. Lineage: Eukaryota; Apicomplexa; Hepatozoidae.
UGUUUAGAAGAGAUGCAUUUAUUAGAUAAAAAACCAAUGCAUGCUUUUAUAGUAUGAAUGUUGGUGAUUUACAAUAACUUAGCAAAUCGCAUAGUGUAAACAGGCGAUAAAUCAUUCAAGUUUCUGACCUAUCAGCUUUCGACGGUAUGGUAUUGGCUUACCGUGGCAGUGACGGUUAACGGGGGAUUAGGGUUCGAUUCCGGAGAGGGAGCCUGAGAAACGGCUACCACAUCUAAGGAAGGCAGCAGGCGCGCAAAUUACCCAAUUCUAACAGCAUAAGAGAGGUAGUGACAAGAAAUAACAGUACAAGGCAGUUAAAAUGCUUUGUAAUUGGAAUGAUGGAAAUUUAAACACUUUUUAGAGUAUCAAUUGGAGGGCAAGUCUGGUGCCAGCAGCCGCGGUAAUUCCAGCUCCAAUAGCGUAUAUUAAAAUUGUUGCAGUUAAAAAGCUCGUAGUUGAAUUUCUGUUAAAAAUAACCGGUCUGCUUUUAAUAAAAGUAUUAUCUUGGUGUGUUUUUAGCAAUAAUGUCCUUUGAAAUGUUUUUUACUUUAUUGUAAUAAAUUAUAUUCAGGAUUUUUACUUUGAGAAAAUUAGAGUGUUUCUAGCAGGCUAAUGCUUUGAAUA